AAAAGGAUGAAUGCUGUUGAUGACACAAGUGAUGAUGAUGAUGAUGAUGAUGAUGAUGAUGAUGAUGGAAAGUCAACUGCCAAGAAGCUGACCUCUAUUUCUGGUGAUGAUCUUGGAGAUUCGUUUGCUGAUGAUGAACCGAAAACUAAGCUGGAAUGGAUCCAACAGAUGUUAAGAAAAGAAAAUGAAAUCGAUGACGAUGACGAUGACGAUGAUGAUGAUGAUGAGGAUGAGGAUGAGGAUGAUGAUGAUGAUGAUGAUGAUGAUGAAGAGGGAGAAGAUGUUGAUGAUGAUGAUGAUGAUGAUGGAGAGGGAGAUGAUCUGGCAAGUGAAAUGCCACAAUCAUUAAAAGACUGGGAACAAAGUGAUGAUGAUGAUGAUGAUGAUGAGGAUGAUGAUGAUGAUGUGAAGUUGAAUGUAAAAGUAAAACCAAAGG
This 436-nucleotide long non-coding RNA is filed under the name Lactuca sativa (garden lettuce). Its description in RNAcentral is "long non-coding RNA (LSAT_LNC007998)". Lineage: Eukaryota; Viridiplantae; Streptophyta; Magnoliopsida; Asterales; Asteraceae. The record is from RNAcentral.